UCAGGAUGCCAUCAGGACGCCACGUCAACCCCUACACAUUAAGAUGAACUGCUUCAGGUGUUUUCCCAAUGAUUGUGUUAUUAUUAUUGUUAAUCAUGUCGUCUGUUUAUUAUUUUAACAAUGAAAAUAAAUUUUGAUUA
Gasterosteus aculeatus aculeatus (three-spined stickleback) is the source of this 140-nucleotide non-coding RNA. Lineage: Eukaryota; Metazoa; Chordata; Actinopteri; Perciformes; Gasterosteidae. The record is from RefSeq and is a predicted model, not a curated record.